GUCUACAGCCAUGCUACCCUGAACAAGCCCAAUCCCAUCUGAUCUUAGGAGCUAAGCAGGGUCAGGCCUGGUUAGUACUUGGAUGGGAGACCACUUAGGAAGACCAGGUGCUGUAGGUA
This 119-nucleotide ribosomal RNA is filed under the name Pteropus alecto (black flying fox). The record is from RNAcentral. Lineage: Eukaryota; Metazoa; Chordata; Mammalia; Chiroptera; Pteropodidae.